AGAUUGAACGCUGGCGGCGUGCUAACACAUGCAAGUCGAACGCGAACGGGGGCUUACGGCCCCAAGUAGAGUGGCGCACGGGUGAGUAACGCGUGGACAAUCUGCCCUUAUGACUGGAAUAACAGUUGGAAACGGCUGCUAAUACCGGAUACGCUCAGGAAGAACUUUUUGAGGAAAGGCGGCCUCUGCUUGCAAGCUGUCGCAUAAGGAUGAGUCCGCGUCCCAUUAGCUAGUUGGCGGGGUAACGGCCCACCAAGGCAACGAUGGGUAGCCGAUUUGAGAGGAUGAUCGGCCACACUGGGACUGAAACACGGCCCAGACUCCUACGGGAGGCAGCAGUGGGGAAUAUUGCGCAAUGGGCGAAAGCCUGACGCAGCGACGCCGCGUGAGGGAUGAAAAGGUUUUCGGAUCGUAAACCUCUGUCAGAAGGGAAGAAACUGCCGUGCUCUAAUCAUCAUGGCAUUGACGGUACCUUCAAAGGAAGCACCGGCUAACUCCGUGCCAGCCGCCGC
Molecule: ribosomal RNA, 512 nt
Filed under: uncultured bacterium
Lineage: Bacteria
Description: bacterial SSU rRNA
Rfam family: Bacterial small subunit ribosomal RNA
Source: RNAcentral